This 321-nucleotide ribosomal RNA is filed under the name uncultured bacterium. RNAcentral describes it as "bacterial SSU rRNA". It matches the Rfam family "Bacterial small subunit ribosomal RNA", at positions 18 to 344 of the family's 1533-position model. The record is from RNAcentral.
CCUGGCUCAGGAUGAACGCUAGCGGCAGGCCUAACACAUGCAAGUCGAGGGAGAAGCCCUUCGGGGCAGAAACCGGCGCACGGGUGCGUAACGCGUAUGCAACCUACCUUUCACAGGGGGAUAGCCCGAAGAAAUUUGGAUUAAUACCCCAUAAUAUUGUUGGAUGGCAUCAUUUGGCAAUUAAAGCUACGACGGUGGAAGAUGGGCAUGCGUCCUAUUAGCUAGUUGGAGUGGUAACGGCACCCCAAGGCUACGAUAGGUAGGGGUCCUGAGAGGGAGAUCCCCCACACUGGUACUGAGACAGGGACCAGACUCCUACGG